AGAGUUUGAUCAUGGCUCAGAUUGAACGCUGGCGGCAGGCUUAACACAUGCAAGUCGAGCGGAGAUGAGGUGCUUGCACCUUAUCUUAGCGGCGGACGGGUGAGUAAUGCUUAGGAAUCUGCCUAUUAGUGGGGGACAACAUUCCGAAAGGAAUGCUAAUACCGCAUACGUCCUACGGGAGAAAGCAGGGGAUCUUCGGACCUUGCGCUAAUAGAUGAGCCUAAGUCGGAUUAGCUAGUUGGUGGGGUAAAGGCCUACCAAGGCGACGAUCUGUAGCGGGUCUGAGAGGAUGAUCCGCCACACUGGGACUGAGACACGGCCCAGACUCCUACGGGAGGCAGCAGUGGGGAAUAUUGGACAAUGGGGGGAACCCUGAUCCAGCCAUGCCGCGUGUGUGAAGAAGGCCUUAUGGUUGUAAAGCACUUUAAGCGAGGAGGAGGCUACUGAGACUAAUACUCUUGGAUAGUGGACGUUACUCGCAGAAUAAGCACCGGCUAACUCUGUGCCAGCAGCCGCGGUAAUACAGAGGGUGCGAGCGUUAAUCGGAUUUACUGGGCGUAAAGCGUGCGUAGGCGGCUUUUUAAGUCGGAUGUGAAAUCCCCGAGCUUAACUUGGGAAUUGCAUUCGAUACUGGGAAGCCAGAGUAUGGGAGAGGAUGGUAGAAUUCCAGGUGUAGCGGUGAAAUGCGUAGAGAUCUGGAGGAAUACCGAUGGCGAAGGCAGCCAUCUGGCCUAAUACUGACGCUGAGGUACGAAAGCAUGGGGAGCAAACAGGAUUAGAUACCCUGGUAGUCCAUGCCGU
This 801-nucleotide ribosomal RNA is filed under the name uncultured bacterium. RNAcentral describes it as "bacterial SSU rRNA". It matches the Rfam family "Bacterial small subunit ribosomal RNA", at positions 8 to 803 of the family's 1533-position model. The record is from RNAcentral.